RNAcentral lists this non-coding RNA (56 nucleotides) under unclassified sequences. The record is from RNAcentral.
UCCUGACGAUGGGCAUCCCCGUUCAUCGACACUAACCCAGACAGGAGUUUAUCAUG